This 1571-nucleotide ribosomal RNA is filed under the name metagenome. RNAcentral's name for it is "bacterial SSU rRNA". It matches the Rfam family "Bacterial small subunit ribosomal RNA". The record is from RNAcentral.
AGGGUUUGAUCCUGGCUCAGAGUGAACGCUGGCGGCGUGGAUUAGGCAUGCAAGUCGAGCGAUUUUUUGCAACGAACUACUUGAAAUUUUGGAAGUUCAUUUCGGUGAAUGGAAAAGAUGGAUAGUAGCUAGUUUCUUAAAAUAGCGGCAGAAGGGUGAGGAAUACGUGGAUGACCUACCCUAAGAUGAGGGAUAGCUUCGAGAAAUCGGAGGUAAUACCUCGUAUACCUUUUACCUUGCGGGGUAUUAGGAAAAGAUGGCUUAAUUCUUCGGAAUGCUAUUGUCUUAGGCGGGGUUCGCGUCUUAUCAGCUAGUUGGUAGGGUAAUGGCCUACCAAGGCUAUGACGAGUAACUGGCAUUAGUGUGUGGUCAGUCACACCGGAACUGAGAUACUGUUCGGACUUCUACGGAAGGCUGCAGUCGAGAAUCUUUCCCAAUGCCCGAAAGGGUGAGGAUGCGACGCCGCGUAGGGGAUGAAGGUCUUCGGAUUGUAAACCCUUUUUGUAAGAGAGGAAAUACUGAUGAUUAAUACUUAUCAGGGCUGACAUUAUCUUACGAAUAAGCCACGGCUAACUCCGUGCCAGCAGCCGCGGUAAUACGGAGGUGGCAAGCGUUACUCGGAAUUACUGGGUGUAAAGGGUCCGCAGGCGGCUAAAUAAGUAAGGGGUGAAAUCCUUCCGCUCAACGGAAGAACUGCCUCUUAUACUGUUUAGCUAGAGGGCGAUAGAGGAAAGCGGAACUGCUAGUGUAAGGGUGAAAUCUGUGGAUAUUAGCAGGAACGUCAGUGACGAAGGUGGCUUUCUGGAUCGCUCCUGACGCUCAGGGACGAAAGCUAGGGGAGCAAACAGGAUUAGAUACCCUGGUAGUCCUAGCUGUAAACGAUGGGCACUAGGUGUUUGGACUUUUAGUUUGAGCGCCGAAGUUAACGCGAUAAGUGCCCCACCUGGGGACUACGGCCGCAAGGCUAAAACUCAAAGGAAUUGACGGGGGCCCGCACAAGCGGUGGAACACGUGGUUUAAUUCGAUGCUACGCGAGGAACCUUACCAGGGUUUGACAUGCUAGAAGUAUUCCGGUAGAAACACUGGAAGACCGUAUCCAAUCGGCGUCUAGUACAGGUGCUGCAUGGUUGUCGUCAGCUCGUGCCGUGAGGUGUCGCCUUAAGUGGUUCAACGAGCGCAACCCUCGCCUCUUGUUGCUACUUUCAACUUUGUUGAAACGCACUCUAGAGGGACUGCCCACGUUAAGUGGGAGGAAGGUGGGGAUGACGUCAAAUCAGCAUGGCCCUUAUGUCCUGGGCUAUACACGUGUUACAAUGGCGUAUACAACGGGAUGCAAGACCGCAAGGUGGAGCUAAUCCAUAAAAGUACGCCUCAGUUCGGAUUGAAGGCUGCAACUCGCCUUCAUGAAGCUGGAAUCGCUAGUAAUGGCGUAUCAGCAACGACGCCGUGAAUACGUUCCCGGGCCUUGUACACACCGCCCGUCAAGCGCCGAAAGUGGGGAGCACCCGAAGCCUCGACAUAAGUCGAGAUCACGGUGAGAUUCAUGAUUGGUGCUAAGUCGUAACAAGGUA